Camelus ferus (Wild Bactrian camel) is the source of this 72-nucleotide transfer RNA. It matches the Rfam family "tRNA". Rfam says of the family: Transfer RNA (tRNA) molecules are approximately 80 nucleotides in length. Their secondary structure includes four short double-helical elements and three loops (D, anti-codon, and T loops). The record is from Rfam. NCBI's taxonomy places the organism in Eukaryota, Metazoa, Chordata, Mammalia, Artiodactyla, Camelidae.
UUGGGUAUACCUCAGUGGUAGAGCACAUGCUUAGCAUUCAUGAGGUCCUGGGUUCAAUCCCUGGUACCUCAA